RNAcentral lists this long non-coding RNA (536 nucleotides) under Phoenix dactylifera (date palm). RNAcentral describes it as "long non-coding RNA (PDAC_LNC000204)". The record is from RNAcentral. Lineage: Eukaryota; Viridiplantae; Streptophyta; Magnoliopsida; Arecales; Arecaceae.
ACUGUUGCUUGAUUUGAUUGGUGUUUAUUUUAGAUCCUGGACCGACAUAUGUGAUCUACAUCGAGUAGCAUGUCGUUCUAUACACAUUUAAUGUCCUCAAGUACACAUUCAAGCUCAUUGAUGUUCAAGGUAGAAAGCAGACAACUCACUCUCUAUGGAUCCCUUGGUGUGCUAGGCUUAGGAGCUCAUGUCUAGCUUUCUUGCGAAUAUUAACCUGUCCUUCAGUGUUUGCCUCAAUGUACAAAUGACACUAAGAUGCUAAGCCAAGGCGUUGCAGAAGGGAUUAAGUGUACAAGAUAGAACAUUGGACCCUAAGCCAACUGACACCUUCCAUGCAACUAGACUAGAUAAAGGCAUUAAGAUGCAUAUAGCGUGACAUUCGUCGCAGGUGUUGUCAAUAUGCUAGACAAAGCAUGACAAUUCCGAAUUAAAAUCCAUUACCCUAAUCAAAGGAGCAGCACCUUAACUCAUGACAAUUUUUUUUUCCAUAGAAAAUAUUUUAUGUAUCCAAUUUUUUGCUGUUCACAGAGGUGUAU